CUAUGACCGGGGGAUAGCAGUUGGAAACGACUGAUAAUACCGCAUAAGCCCACAGGAUGGCAUCAUCGAGUGGGAAAAACUCCGGUGGUCAGAGAUGGCCCCGCGUCUGAUUAGCCAGUUGGUGAGGUAACGGCUCACCAAAGCGACGAUCGGUAGCCGGCCUGAGAGGGCGGACGGCCACAUUGGGACUGAGACACGGCCCAAACUCCUACGGGAGGCAGCAGUGGGGGAUAUUGCACAAUGGAGGGAACUCUGAUGCAGCGACGCCGCGUGAGUGAAGAAGUAUUUCGGUAUGUAAAGCUCUAUCAGCAGGGAAGAAAGGCUCCGGAAGGAGAGAUGACGGUACCUGAGUAAGAAGCCGGGUA
Molecule: ribosomal RNA, 365 nt
Filed under: Lachnospiraceae bacterium oral taxon 090
Lineage: Bacteria; Bacillati; Bacillota; Clostridia; Lachnospirales; Lachnospiraceae
Description: bacterial SSU rRNA
Rfam family: Bacterial small subunit ribosomal RNA
Source: RNAcentral